Molecule: ribosomal RNA, 501 nt
Filed under: uncultured bacterium
Lineage: Bacteria
Description: partial 16S ribosomal RNA
Rfam family: Bacterial small subunit ribosomal RNA
Source: RNAcentral
AUUGAACGCUGGCGGAAUGCUUUACACAUGCAAGUCGAACGGCAGCACGGACUUCGGUCUUGGUGGCGAGUGGCGAACGGGUGAGUAAUGUAUCGGAACGUGCCCAGUCGUGGGGGAUAACGUAGUGAAAAUUGCGCUAAUACCGCAUACGAUCUAUGGAUGAAAGCGGGGGAUCGCAAGACCUCGCGCGAUUGGAGCGGCCGAUAUCAGAUUAGGUAGUUGGUGGGGUAAAGGCCCACCAAGCCAACGAUCUGUAGCUGGUCUGAGAGGACGACCAGCCACACUGGAACUGAGACACGGUCCAGACUCCUACGGGAGGCAGCAGUGGGGAAUUUUGGACAAUGGGCGAAAGCCUGAUCCAGCCAUUCCGCGUGCAGGAUGAAGGCCCUCGGGUUGUAAACUGCUUUUGUACAGAACGAAAAGGUUUCUACUAAUACUAGGAGCUCAUGACGGUACUGUAAGAAUAAGCACCGGCUAACUACGUGCCAGCCGCCGCGGUAA